This 465-nucleotide ribosomal RNA is filed under the name Vreelandella stevensii. RNAcentral's name for it is "partial 16S ribosomal RNA". It matches the Rfam family "Bacterial small subunit ribosomal RNA", at positions 338 to 795 of the family's 1533-position model. The record is from RNAcentral. Lineage: Bacteria; Pseudomonadati; Pseudomonadota; Gammaproteobacteria; Oceanospirillales; Halomonadaceae.
CCUACGGGGGGCAGCAGUGGGGAAUAUUGGACAAUGGGGGCAACCCUGAUCCAGCCAUGCCGCGUGUGUGAAGAAGGCCCUCGGGUUGUAAAGCACUUUCAGUGAGGAAGAACGCCUGGUGGUUAAUACCCAUCAGGAAAGACAUCACUCACAGAAGAAGCACCGGCUAACUCCGUGCCAGCAGCCGCGGUAAUACGGAGGGUGCGAGCGUUAAUCGGAAUUACUAGGCGUAAAGCGCGCGUAGGUGGCUUGAUAAGCCGGUUGUGAAAGCCCCGGGCUCAACCUGGGAACGGCAUCCGGAACUGUCAAGCUAGAGUGCAGGAGAGGAAGGUAGAAUUCCCGGUGUAGCGGUGAAAUGCGUAGAGAUCGGGAGGAAUACCAGUGGCGAAGGCGGCCUUCUGGACUGACACUGACACUGAGGUGCGAAAGCGUGGGUAGCAAACAGGAUUAGAUACCCCGGUAGUC